GACGAACGCUGGCGGCAUGCCUAAUACAUGCAAGUCGAGCGAACAGAUGAAGUGCUUGCACUUCUGACGUUAGCGGCGAACGGGUGAGUAACACGUAAGGAAUCUACCUAUAAGCGGGGGAUAACAUUCGGAAACGGGUGCUAAUACCGCAUAAUAUCUUCUUCCGCAUGGAAGAAGAUUGAAAGACGGCUCUGCUGUCACUUAUAGAUGACCUUGCGGUGCAUUAGUUAGUUGGUGGGGUAAUGGCCUACCAAGACGAUGAUGCAUAGCCGACAUGGGAGGGUGAGCGGCCACGUUGGGACUGAGACACGGCCCACACUCCUGCGGGAGGCAGCAGUAGGGAAUCUUCCGCAAUGGGCGAAAGCCUGACGGAGCAAUGCCGCGUGAGUGAAGAAGGCCUUCGGGUCGUAAAACUCUGUUAUAAGAGAAGAACAAAUUGUAGAGUAACUGCUACAGUCUUGACGGUAUCUUAUCAGAAAGCCACGGCUAACUACGUGCCAGCCGCCGCCGUAA
This 513-nucleotide ribosomal RNA is filed under the name uncultured bacterium. RNAcentral's name for it is "partial 16S ribosomal RNA". It matches the Rfam family "Bacterial small subunit ribosomal RNA", at positions 28 to 523 of the family's 1533-position model. The record is from RNAcentral.